RNAcentral lists this ribosomal RNA (836 nucleotides) under uncultured Gammaproteobacteria bacterium. RNAcentral's name for it is "bacterial SSU rRNA". It matches the Rfam family "Bacterial small subunit ribosomal RNA", at positions 8 to 839 of the family's 1533-position model. The record is from RNAcentral. Lineage: Bacteria; Pseudomonadati; Pseudomonadota; Gammaproteobacteria.
AGGGUUUGAUCAUGGCUCAAAUUGAACGCUGGCGGCAGGCCUAACACAUGCAAGUCGAGCGGUAGAGAGAAGCUUGCUUCUCUUGAGAGCGGCGGACGGGUGAGUAAUGCCUAGGAAUCUGCCUGGUAGUGGGGGAUAACGUUCGGAAACGGACGCUAAUACCGCAUACGUCCUACGGGAGAAAGCAGGGGACCUUCGGGCCUUGCGCUAUCAGAUGAGCCUAGGUCGGAUUAGCUAGUUGGUGAGGUAAUGGCUCACCAAGGCGACGAUCCGUAACUGGUCUGAGAGGAUGAUCAGUCACACUGGAACUGAGACACGGUCCAGACUCCUACGGGAGGCAGCAGUGGGGAAUAUUGGACAAUGGGCGAAAGCCUGAUCCAGCCAUGCCGCGUGUGUGAAGAAGGUCUUCGGAUUGUAAAGCACUUUAAGUUGGGAGGAAGGGUUGUAGAUUAAUACUCUGCAAUUUUGACGUUACCGACAGAAUAAGCACCGGCUAACUCUGUGCCAGCAGCCGCGGUAAUACAGAGAGUGCAAGCGUUAAUCGGAAUUACUGGGCGUAAAGCGCGCGUAGGUGGUUUGUUAAGUUGGAUGUGAAAUCCCCGGGCUCAACCUGGGAACUGCAUUCAAAACUGACUGACUAGAGUAUGGUAGAGGGUGGUGGAAUUUCCUGUGUAGCGGUGAAAUGCGUAGAUAUAGGAAGGAACACCAGUGGCGAAGGCGACCACCUGGACUAAUACUGACACUGAGGUGCGAAAGCGUGGGGAGCAAACAGGAUUAGAUACCCUGGUAGUCCACGCCGUAAACGAUGUCAACUAGCCGUUGGAAGCCUUGAGCUU